AUCCUUUUGUAGUUUGUAAGUGUGAUGAUUGGGUUUGCACAUGCAUGUUUGAGAUGUGCCUCCCUCAAACCUGUAUUAGUCCGUUUUCACACAGCUAUAAAGAACUACCUGAGA
Molecule: small nucleolar RNA, 114 nt
Organism: Pongo abelii (Sumatran orangutan)
Lineage: Eukaryota; Metazoa; Chordata; Mammalia; Primates; Hominidae
Source: Ensembl